Molecule: RNA transcript, 8568 nt
Organism: Drosophila nasuta
Lineage: Eukaryota; Metazoa; Arthropoda; Insecta; Diptera; Drosophilidae
Gene: Ziz
Gene name: dedicator of cytokinesis protein Ziz
Exons: 13
Source: RefSeq, a predicted model, not a curated record
UGCUGUGCGGUUCGUGUGACGGACGAAAAAAAUAUUAAUUCAGCGUUUUACCAAUCGUUUAAUACAAUAAAAACACGCGCAGCGCUGCCGACCACGCAAAGAAAUAUCAAAAGCAAAAGUGAAUAACAUUUAGAGCUACCGAAAAAACGCCCAAGCUGUUUGCAAACUUCACAAAACAGCUGCAAUUAAAUAAAAGUAAUUAAAACGCAUUGUUUAUAAACCGUUGGAUGUUUGCGAAGCUCAUCAAAAAAGCCCAGGAAUUUUUCAUCAAAUAAAGAAUUUCAUAUGCGCUUGAUGCCUGACGCGUUUGCGUAUGGAUGUGUGUGUGCUUGAAUGCCCUAAAAGUGUGUGUUCGUAGGCGUGUGUGUGGUCCAGUUUUGUGUAUAACACGAAAGAAAAUUGUGCUCUGUGUCCUUUGAAGGUGCUUUAAGGUUGAAUGUUUGUAGCCACCUAAAUACAAAUUAUAAAAAAACGAAACUGGACAGCAUCAAAGAACUGGCAGCGCAGUCAUCAGGAUAACGAAUUAGUCAUCCAGCAGAAAAACACGGCAGCGCAUCCAGCUUGCCUGUGUUGGUGCGUAUCUACACGCAUGAAUGUGUGUGUCGCCGGUUUUUUGCACACUGUCACAGCUAUAAGAGCAAGCAGAACAGCAAUAACAACAGGAAUAACAACAACAACAACUUGUUCUCCAUGCAUCGCUUAACCCCUGCGUGGUAGUAACAACAAAAACAACGACAUUAACUGUGAACGCUAAGGAAAUUGAGAAUGGAACGCAAAUUUACGCGUGGCUUGAAUAAGCCGGGCAUGGCAGCACAGCUGAGAGAGAGCGUCUCUCAGGUGGUGCGUGAGAGCGCGGUUUUGAGUAAACCCGCAGUUGUGGAGCCCAUCGAUUUCGAAGCCUUUAUAGCCAAAAAUAAAACGCUUAUACAGAAUGAUCCCCAGCGGGAGCUACUUAUCUAUCCAGCUGACGAUGUCUCGGAGAUCAUUAUGCCUCGCAAGCAGCGCAGCAAUGCCAAGUCUGUGGCAGAUCGCUUUGAGCCGCCCAACGAGGCGAUUGUGUGUCCACUGCAUGGCUCCAUGGCGCUGGCAAGUAAUGGCCACAGUCAGGUGAGUCGCCAGGGCAGUCUGCAGUCGAAUGGCAGCCACCAGAAUGGCCACAGCAGCAACACAAGUCUAUCCAAUGGCAAUGGACAGUUGUCGCGCAAGAGUUCACAGUGCUCCAACGGCUCGACGAGUCGACAGGAGAAAUUAUCGCAUGAAUCCUUCGAAUCGGCACUGUCAUCGACCACGCUGCGUUCGCAUCUGGCGCAGCCUGAAGAGGUAGAUGAGUAUGCGGAUGAAGAGGAGGAGGAGAGGCAUGCGCCUUGCGAAGAUGUCACAGAUGGAAGUGCGCCAGGCACAAGAGCAGAGUGCACACGCUUCACACGGCAAGCGCUUUAUACGUAUCGUGCCAAGAAUCAUUUAAUACACUAUAAAUACAGCGCAUAUGGCGGAAACUGCCACGAUCUGCCCAGCACUUCACCUGGCGAGGAACUCGUGGAGGAAGUCUAUGAAAUCGAUGCGGAUCAGGAUCGCAUUGAUGAGCAGAUGACGCGCUCCCAAGCGGACACCAUCACCAAGCAGGGCUAUCUGCUAAAAGGACCCGACUCCGCCUCGGAUCGCAUGUUUGCCAACAUUGGAAACAAAUCCUUCAAGCGUCGCUACUGCUAUCUGCGGCAGGAGGUUGACGGCACCUAUAUGCUGGAGCUGCACAAGGACGAGAAGCAGGGCGAAGCCAAGGCUACCAUUGUCAUGGACUUUUGCACCGAAGUGGUGCAGAAUCCCAAGCGAGGACGCUUCUGCUUUGAGUUGCGCAUGACGGCUGGCCACAAAUCAUUCACAUUGGCUGCAGAGAACGAGCAGGACUUUAGGGACUGGCUGAGCAAGCUGUCCUCGGUUUUGGCGCAGAACAAGGCGCAAGAAGAGAAGCGCAAUGCCUCUCUGGAGCGUCAACCCUCAGGCAAUGCCACGCCCACACCCAGUCCACAGCUACAGCCGCCAGCCAUGGAGCCACCCACGUUUGGCACACUCAAGGGACUAGAUCAAUCGCUGCAUCCGCAGCUAAUGAAGUAUGGCCGUGAAACUGAUCACUCCAUAGCGUUGGCGCGUCGUGAGCAGCGGCGACGUCUCUUUGCCAGCUAUCCCAGUGCCAACAAGGCUGCUGUGGCCGACAACACGGAUCAGUAUCGCGAGCACUUUGGCAUGCGUCUGCUGUUGCGAUGUCACAGGCUCAGCUUCAAGCUGCAGUGCCAACCGGAAGGAGCUGGAGGAGAACAGUUGUGUCAGGUGGAACCAUACAUCACCAGUUUGUCGCUGUACGAUGCCAAAGCGGGACGCAAGCUCAGCGAGAACUUCUACUUCAAUGUAAAUGAAGCGUCAGCUUUCCAAUUACUACCUAACACUCCAGUGCCCGCUUCUGUUUCGGGUUGCGGGGUGCCCCGGCGUGGUGAGAAUGAUUCCAGCCAUGCGGCACAAGCGGCGCACUCUCUCUUUGAUGGUGUCUCUUCGGAGCUGUUGCGAUGCCCGCGCCAGCAGUUCCAGCAGCUGAGGCAGUGUGUGCUCUCGGUGACGGCGCCGCAUGCAGAGAUCUAUCUGGUGUUGCGCAUUGAGAAGGUGCUGCAGUGCAGCAUUCAACAGGCCGCAGAGCCUUAUGUAAAAGGGGCCCGGGGUGAUGCUAAGCAAGGCCAGAAAACGCACAAGGCGGCAAAGAGUUGUGCCCAGCACAUUGGCCACUAUCGUCAGCCCUUUGCCUGGGCUGCGCGACCACUGUUCAAGGCCUACAGCCACGAGCUGGACGUGGAGUCACAGCGAGAGUUCGACUUCAAUACAAUCUAUCGCCAGGAGCCGGUGAAACUACGCGACGAAGAAUUGUUGCGUCUGCUGGCCGACUAUCGCAAGCCAGAGAAGCUAAGCAAAUUGACUAUUAUACCGGGUAGAAUGAGCUUGGAGCUGCAGCUGCUGGAUCAGACGCCGCCCUGUGGACUCAGCAAGUCGCUGGCUCCGUUGUCCAGCUUUAGUCCCGCUGCAAAGCAGUCGUUAACGCUCGAGCUAAACGAAUUUCAGAGCCAGCACGAACGUGAUGCGUUUCCGUACACAAACUUCUGCAAUCAUCUGUAUGUCUAUCCACUGAGUCUACAGUUCGACAGCCAGAAGAUCUUCUCGCGGGCACGCAACAUCACAGUCGUUGUGGAGUUACGCGAUGGUGAUGGCGAGUACAGCAAACCACUGAAGUGCAUCUAUGGCAGACCUGGACAGGAUCUGCUGGUGUCACAGCUAGCAUGUCCCGUGCUGCAUCACAAUGUCACGCCCACUUGGUACGAGGAGAUUAAGCUGCGUUUGCCACUCGGACUUUUCCCCGAGCAUCACUUGCUUUUCUCCUUCUACCAUGUCUCGUGCAAUCUGAGCAAGAAACGCGAUGCACACGCUUCGUUCGAGACACCCAUUGGCUACGCCUGGCUGCCGUUGCUGCAGAAGCAUCGCAUCUGUCUGGAGGAGAAGCUGCUGCCUGUCGCUGCCACACUGCCUGUGGGUUAUCUAUCCAUACAGCCACUGGGAUUGGGCAAAGGGCAGAACUGCGGCCCCGACAUUCAGUGGAUCGACAACCAGCGACCGGUCUACAGCGUCGGUCUUCGUCUCGACUCUACGGUGCUCACCUCGGAUCAGCAUCUGCACAAUUUCUUUGCGCACUGCGAGCGUCUGCUGGAGGGUGGCAAGACUGGCGCUUUACCUGCGGAAAUGGAAACCUGCAAAAUACUGAAGGCAGCACAUGCCAUCGAUAUGCGAUCACUGAUCAAUUUCUUGCCCACGCUGCUCAACGAACUGUUCACGUUGCUUGUGCACACGCAGUCCGAGGAGAUUGGUCAGAAUGUCAUACGACUGCUCACAAACAUCAUCCAUCUGAUCAGCGAUGAGGCGAAUCGCACCGAUCUACUAUCGGCAUAUGUAAAGUAUGUGUUCCAUGCGCCUUACUACAGUCAACAGACUGCGCGCAUGCGCACUGUGCAUGGCGAACUGUGUCGCCAUCUGCCCAACUUGCUGAAUCCGAGCAAUACAGACUUUUUGGUGGUCAACAAGUUCAUGCGCUACUCAUCAAUCUUCUUUGAUUUGAUUGUGAAGAGCAUGGCUCAACAUCUGCUGGCCACGGGGCGUAUACGUAUGCUGCGCAACGAACGCUUUCCCAAGGAGUAUUCAGAUCGCGUAGAGCAGUUGAUCAAAGUCUUGGUGCCGUACAUAGUGACACGCUACGAGGAUCUGGGGGAGGAGACGCAACAAUUGAAUCGUUCGCUUGCACGAUUUGUGCGUCAGUGCCUCAGCUAUAUGGAUCGUGGAUUUGUCUUUAAACUGAUUCGCUUCUAUAUGGAACAGUUUACGCCGGGAAAUGCACGUGUGCUGCACGAGUACAAGUUUAAUUUUCUGCAGGAGAUUUGCCAGCACGAACACUAUGUGCCCCUCAAUCUGCCAUUUGUGCUGAAUCCCAAAAACCGUCCGCCCGAAUUGCUGCAACAUUUCACGCUCUCAGAACAGUUUUGCCGACAGCACUUCCUUUCCGGACUGCUGCUGCAGGAACUGAAGAGCAGUCUCAACGAGGUGGGACAUGUGCGACGCCAUGCGCUUGCAAUCUUCAAGGAUCUGCUGGCCAAGCACGAGCUGGAUGCUCGUUAUCAGCAACGUGGACAACUCUCGCGCAUUGCAUUGCUCUAUGUGCCGUGGCUGGGCAUUGUCAUGGAUAAUUUGCAGCGCAUUGAUGACUUGGCAGAGUCUGGAGCCUGCACACCCAAUGGCCACGUCUAUGCGGACUCUGCGUCGUAUACGAAACGUUUGAGCUGCUCCAGUAGCUAUGUGUUUAGCAAGGACUCAUCUACGUUUGGCUCGCUGACGUCGACGCCGCGAUCGAAAAACCGAUUGACGCUUCACAUUGAUCAACCAAGUCCUUGCCGCACUUCGAUGCACAUUAAGGAGCACAAUUAUCUGGCUGCCAUUGCGGGAUCAGCCAUCAGCAAUGGCGUCUCGAAUCUCUCGCUCAACUCCAACUCCGACUCGGGCCACUCGCAGGACACGACUACCAUUGGCGCCUACACAAAUGGCGACACAGAUGUUGCACUGCGCAACGGCCACAAUCGUUCGGUGAGCGUCACGCAUGCCCAAAUCCUCGCCAGAUGCGACAAGUUCAGCGCUGCGGAGAGCAAGGAUUUGUUGCUGGGUUUCCUCUUUAUUGUGAAGCAUUUGUCGCAAGAUCAAAUGAUUGGAUGGUGGCAGAACUGUAAUGAGACAGAAACCUUUCAAUUUCUGUCCAUUUUGGACUUGUGUUUGCUGCAAUUCCGUUACGUGGGCAAGAAGAAUGUGACUUUGCCCACAGAUGGACGCACCACACGUCCCAACAAGGCGCACACAUUGCCCGCACGCACGGCGCCGCCAGUACUGGAGAAUGGCAACCCGGAAGCAAGUAAUGGCACAGGCACACUCACACAAACGCGUGAGCAUUUGCUUGAGGACAUGGACUUGUGUGCGAGGUCACAGCAGGCGCUGUACGAGUCCAAUUUGGCCACAGAGGUUGGCAUGAUCAUACUCGACUGUUUGGGUCUCUAUGUGCUGCAAUUUCGCCAGCUGCUGGCGGAUAGUUUGGUGCUUCCAAAGCUAGCGCGUGUCUAUCUGCGCUUCCUGCAACUGGGACAGUCGGAGAGAUUGUCGAAGCACGUCUUUGCUGCGUUGCGCGCUUUCAUUAACAACUACUCGAUGGCGCUGUUUAAGGGCAAUGCCAUGCUAUGUGGUCAGAUGGUCUAUGAGCUUCUGAAGGCCUGCGACAGUCGGCUGGUGGACAUACGCCAUGAAUCCUGUGCCGUGCUUUAUUUACUGAUGCGCAGCAACUUUGAAUUUAGCGGCAGGAAGGCGUUGACUCGGGUGCACCUUCAAGUAAUCAUUUCGGUGUCGCAGAUGAUUGGCAAUGUAAUUGGCCUGAACAAUGCACGCUUUCAGGAGAGUUUGUCCAUUAUCAACAGUUAUGCGAACAGUGACAAGGCAAUGAAAGGCACAGGAUUCCCCCUGGAGGUGAAGGAUCUUACGAGGAGGGUACGCACAGUGCUCAUGGCCACUGCACAGAUGCAGGCACAUCACAUGGAUCCAGAGCGACUCUUGGAGCUGCAGUACUCGCUGGCCAAUUCGUAUGCUUCGACGCCAGAACUGCGACACACUUGGCUAGUCACCAUGGCACGGAAUCACGAACAAAAUGGGAAUCUCUCGGAGGCCGCAUGCUGUCAUCUGCAUAUCGCAGCGCUGAUGUGCGAGUAUCUCCGUCUACGAGGUGGCUGCACCUUGAGCUGGUCCUCGACGGCCUUUGGUAAGAUCUCGCGCAAUAUUCCACUGGAUGAGCAGGGCCUGAAACUGGAUGCAGGUGCACAGGACUCGCAGUACACAGAGCAAAUGCUGCUAGAACAGCUGAAGCAAUGUGCUGAUUUUCUCGAUCGUGCUGAACGUUUUGAGUGCCUCGGUGAGCUCUACAAGCUUAUACUGCCCAUCUAUGAGCGUGCCCGCAGCUUCAUCGAGUUGGCUCACUGUUACGAGCAUCUCACUCAAGCCUACAACAAGAUCGUCGAGGUCAAUCGCUCUGGGAAGCGUAUGCUGGGUCGCUUCUAUCGAGUUGUGUUCUAUGGCAUGAUGUAUUUCGAGGAGGAUCACGCUAUUGAGUAUGUCUACAAAGAGCCCAAGCUGACGUCUCUUAGUGAAAUCUCUGAGCGCUUGGCCAAGCAGUAUAAGGAAAAGUUUGGCGCCGAUGUUGUUAAACUAAUUAUGGAUUCAUCACCGGUAAAAGUUGACGAACUCGAUACCAAACUGGCCUACAUACAGGUGACGCAUGUGAUACCGUUCUUCAGCAAGGACGAACUCGAUCAGCGACUCAAUGAAUUUGAGCAGAACCACGACGUGGACACGUUCAUGUACGAGACACCGUUCACCCAAUCGGGCGCAGCACGCGGUAGCGUAGAGGAACAAUGGAAACGCAAGACAGUCAUCAAGACUCAAUAUUCAUUUCCCUAUGUGCUGAAACGCAUACCCGUCAAAUCCCGUGAGAUUAUCGAGCUGAGCCCCAUUGAGGUGGCCAUCGAUGAGAUGCAAUCAAAGGUUUCAGAGCUGGAGGAAAUUAUAUUGCCGCCAGCGGAUGUAAAAAAGCUGCAGCUGCGUUUGCAGGGCAGCGUGGCAGUUACAGUGAAUGCAGGUCCUUUGGCCUAUGCCCAUGCUUUCCUUGAUGCCAAGGUGAUCAAUAACUUUUCACUGGAUCGUGUCGACGACUUAAAGGAUGUAUUUCGCGAUUUCAUUGGCGUCUGUCACAAGGCGUUACGUGUGAACGAGCGCAUGAUCAGUGCGGAUCAAAAGGAGUAUCAUCAUGCGCUUAAGGAGAACUAUGAGAAACUUUGUCAAGCGCUCAGUGAGUUACUGCAGGACGAAUCAUUCCAACCGCUUAGCGAUGAUGCCGACGCCGCCGCCCAGCGCAAUAGCAUGGCUUUAUUCAAUGCGAUCAGUGGCGCCUCACAUAACUCAAGUACUGCUUAAGUUCAACCACAAACAAACAAAACACAUACACACACAGUUACCAAUAGAAAAAAACAAAACAAAACACUCACGCACAGCUACUAAAAUGGUUAUUACAAUUACUCAAAUAACAAGCCAAGUAGUAGAAGCCUAAUUCCAGUAGCAUUAUCAACUUGUUCGUUUUUUGGUGUUCCCCUUUUUUGUAUGAUGUAUGAGCUAUAACUUUGAUCUUUGAUGUUUGAUGUUGUCGUUGUCGUUGCCGUUGUUGUUUCUGUGGCAGCAGGUUUUGGUUUUGCCGUUUAUUAAAGCCCAAAUGCAAACCGUCAAAUACAAAUACCAAUACUACUGCAUACCCCACAUACUCGUACACAUACACACGCACACACAGCCAACUGACCUGUUGACCAGUUGACCAAGUUCCAGUACACUCGACAACAACAUAUAAACAAAACAAAAAAGCCACAAGCACUUGUUGAUUUUUGUAUAACGAAACGAAUCUUUAAUUGUUGUUAAAUUACAUAUGACUAUGUAAUUGUAUAUAUAGAUUGAGCUUAAUUCUGAUUGUACAUUUCUUGAUUUCUAUUAUUAUUUAAUUAUUACGAUUCCAGUGUGCAGAAUGCCUACAAAAACUGACAGAUGAUUUAACUAUAACUAUAUUUAAAUAUAUAAUUAAUGUUUAGUAAUCGCAAUGACGAGCUCCCCCUAUUAUUAAUAAUAGAUGAAAUCUGCUAACUUUGUGUCUUCUUCGAAACUCAACUGUUUAAUAAUUUAAUUAUUACACUCGUAUGAUAAACAAAACUUACCUAAUACUUACCAGUAAUUGUAAUUGUAGCUCUUAAGUUCCAGAACAGAGAAGCAACAGAACUUACCAAAGUAUUCAGAAAAAGAAAAGCAAAAACGAAAAUAUCAUAACUAUGAUACAACAAAUACAUGAAUAUAUAUUUACAUGCAUUUUCUAGUGAAAUCGAAUAACGAAUAUUUAAAUCAAAUAAAUGUUUAAAAAAUAUA